GAUGAAGAACGCAGCGAAAUGCGAUAAGUAAUGUGAAUUGCAGAAUUCAGUGAAUCAUCGAAUCUUUGAACGCACCUUGCACCCUUUGGCAUUCCGAAGGGUAUGCUCGUUUGAGUGUCAUUGUACUCUCACACUUCCGAUCUUUGGAUUGGGAGCGGUGGACUUGGGUGUUGCUGCUUACUGUGGCUCACCUCAAAUCGAUUCGUGCACCUCUUGGUUGGACAUAGUACGGCGUGAUAAGUGUCUUCGCCGGCACCUCAGUAGAGGGUGGCUGAUCGGGAGCUCUGCUUCAAACCGUCCUCGGACAAAAACUGACAACUUGACCUCAAAUCGAGUAGGACUACCCGCUGAACUUAAGCAUAUCAAUAAGCGGAGGA
This 377-nucleotide unclassified non-coding RNA is filed under the name soil metagenome. Its description in RNAcentral is "partial contains 5.8S ribosomal RNA, internal transcribed spacer 2, and large subunit ribosomal RNA". The stretch from base 1 to 120 matches the Rfam family "5.8S ribosomal RNA", at positions 35 to 154 of the family's 154-position model. The record is from RNAcentral.